CGACUCCAUGAAGUCGGAAUCGCUAGUAAUCGUGGAUCAGAAUGCCACGGUGAAUACGUUCCCGGGCCUUGUACACACCGCCCGUCACACCAUGGGAGUGGGUUGCAAAAGAAGUAGGUAGCUUAACCUUCGGGGGGGCGCUUACCACUUUGUGAUUCAUGACUGGGGUGAAGUCGUAACAAGGUAACCGUAGGGGAACCUGCGGUUGGAUCACCUCCUUACCUUAAAGAAGC
RNAcentral lists this ribosomal RNA (233 nucleotides) under Salmonella enterica subsp. enterica. RNAcentral's name for it is "partial 16S ribosomal RNA". It matches the Rfam family "Bacterial small subunit ribosomal RNA", at positions 1313 to 1533 of the family's 1533-position model. The record is from RNAcentral. Lineage: Bacteria; Pseudomonadati; Pseudomonadota; Gammaproteobacteria; Enterobacterales; Enterobacteriaceae.